UAUUGGACAAUGGGGGGAACCCUGAUCCAGCGACGCCGCGUGAGUGAAGAAGUAUUUCGGGAUGUAAAGCUCUGUCAGCAGGGAAGAAGAAAGUGACGGUACCUGACCAAGAAGCCCCGACUAACUACGUGCCAGCAGCCGCGGUAAUACGUAGGGGGCAAGCGUUAUCCGGAAUUACUGGGUGUAAAGGGAGCGUAGACGGUAAUGUAAGUCUGGAGUGAAAAGCGGGGGCCCAACCCCCGGACUGCUCUGGAAACUAUGUUACUGGAGUGCAGGAGAGGUAAGCGGAAUUCCUAGUGUAGCGGUGAAAUGCGUAGAUAUUAGGAGGAACACCAGUGGCGAAGGCGGCUUACUGGACUGUAACUGACGUUGAGGCUCGAAAGCGUGGGGAGCAAACAGG
RNAcentral lists this ribosomal RNA (400 nucleotides) under uncultured bacterium. RNAcentral describes it as "bacterial SSU rRNA". It matches the Rfam family "Bacterial small subunit ribosomal RNA", at positions 362 to 776 of the family's 1533-position model. The record is from RNAcentral.